GACGAACGCUGGCGGCGCGCUUAACACAUGCAAGUCGAACGGAAAGGCCUGCUUUCCCUUGUGGAUUGCGGGUACUCGAGUGGCGAACGGGUGAGUAACACGUGAGUGAUCUGCCCCCAACUUGGGUAUAAGCCUGGGAAACUGGGUCUAAUUCCCGAUAGGACUGCAGGGUGGUGCCUGUGGUGGAAAACGAUUUUCUAGUGGUUGGGGAUGGGCUCGCGGCCUAUCAGCUUGUUGGUGGGGUAAUGGCCUACCAAGGCGGCGACGGGUAGCCGGCCUGAGAGGGUGGACGGCCACAUUGGGACUGAGAUACGGCCCAGACGCCUACGGGAGGCAGCAGUGGGGAAUAUUGCACAAUGGGCGGAAGCCUGAUGCAGCGACGCCGCGUGGGGGAUGACGGCCUUCGGGUUGUAAACUCCUUUCGACCGCGAGGAAGCCACCUGGUUGGAAGGGUGGUGACGGUAGUGGUAGAAGAAGCACCGGCUAACUACGUG
RNAcentral lists this ribosomal RNA (494 nucleotides) under uncultured bacterium. Its description in RNAcentral is "partial 16S ribosomal RNA". It matches the Rfam family "Bacterial small subunit ribosomal RNA", at positions 28 to 507 of the family's 1533-position model. The record is from RNAcentral.